UAGAAAGACAGGACUCGAACCUGCACAAAAGAGCUCAAAACCCUUUGUACUCCCACUAUACUACCUUCUACC
RNAcentral lists this transfer RNA (72 nucleotides) under Feylinia polylepis. Its description in RNAcentral is "tRNA-Glu". Lineage: Eukaryota; Metazoa; Chordata; Lepidosauria; Squamata; Scincidae. The record is from RNAcentral.